Molecule: ribosomal RNA, 433 nt
Filed under: uncultured bacterium
Lineage: Bacteria
Description: partial 16S ribosomal RNA
Rfam family: Bacterial small subunit ribosomal RNA
Source: RNAcentral
AGCGAACGCUGGCGGCAGGCCUAACACAUGCAAGUCGAACGAACCUUUCGGGGUUAGUGGCGGACGGGUGAGUAACACGUGGGAACGUGCCUUUAGGUUCGGAAUAACUCAGGGAAACUUGUGCUAAUACCGAAUGUGCCCUUCGGGGGAAAGAUUAAUCGCCUUUAGAGCGGCCCGCGUCUGAUAGCUAGUUGGUUGAGGUAAUGGCUCACCAAGGCGACGAUCAGUAGCUGGUCUGAGAGGAUGAUCAGCCACAUUGGGACUGAGACACGGCCCAAACUCCUACGGGAGGCAGCAGUGGGGAAUCUUGCGCAAUGGGCGAAAGCCUGACGCAGCCAUGCCGCGUGAAUGAUGAAGGUCUUAGGAUUGUAAAAUUCUUUCACCGGGGACGAUAAUGACGGUACCCGGAGAAGAAGCCCCGGCUAACUUCGUG